RNAcentral lists this ribosomal RNA (492 nucleotides) under uncultured bacterium. RNAcentral's name for it is "partial 16S ribosomal RNA". It matches the Rfam family "Bacterial small subunit ribosomal RNA", at positions 29 to 507 of the family's 1533-position model. The record is from RNAcentral.
AUUGAACGCUGGCGGCAUGCUUUACACAUGCAAGUCGAACGGUAACAGGCCUUCGGGUGCUGGCGAGUGGCGAACGGGUGAGUAAUGCAUCGGAACGUACCCAGAGGUGGGGGAUAACGCAGCGAAAGCUGUGCUAAUACCGCAUGUGAUCUGAGGAUGAAAGCGGGGGACCGAGCAGCAAUGUUUGGCCUCGCGCCUUUGGAGCGGCCGAUGUCGGAUUAGCUAGUUGGUGGGGUAAAGGCCUACCAAGGCGACGAUCCGUAGCUGGUCUGAGAGGACGACCAGCCACACUGGGACUGAGACACGGCCCAGACUCCUACGGGAGGCAGCAGUGGGGAAUUUUGGACAAUGGGCGCAAGCCUGAUCCAGCAAUGCCGCGUGCGGGAAGAAGGCCUUCGGGUUGUAAACCGCUUUUGGCAGGAACGAAACGGUGUCCGCUAAUACCGGGCGCUAAUGACGGUACCUGCAGAAUAAGCGCCGGCUAACUACGUG